Molecule: long non-coding RNA, 1338 nt
Organism: Ostrinia furnacalis (Asian corn borer)
Lineage: Eukaryota; Metazoa; Arthropoda; Insecta; Lepidoptera; Crambidae
Exons: 2
Source: RefSeq, a predicted model, not a curated record
UAAAUAUUCGUUUGACCACCUACGCCAAAAGACCUUAAGCAUUUGUUGGGUUAGCUGCCAGCGUUUCAAAGAUGAUAUUGUUGACGUUUCAUAAUUGUUAUCGGGCACAAGUACUAAAGGUUCACCGAUGAUAAAAUGACCUGGUGUGAGAGGUGUUGGAUCUUGUGAAUUGGUACUGAUCUGUGUUAACGGCCUUGAGUUAAGACACGCUUCAAUUUGGUAUAACAACGUAGAUAUUUCUUCAUGGGUAAGGGUUGCUGUGCCGAUCACUCGCUUCAGAUGAUGUUUUGUCAAUUUUCCUUGGUCACAUGGUAAGCUUUCUUUUCUUUCUCUUCUAAGUUCGUGUCCUUUAUGUCCGUUCUGUCGUGUUCUAUGGUUAUGUUUUUUAACCAUGCAGGUCCACUUUUCCAGAGAGGAAGUGUAUCAUAUUCAGAUGGGUUGACUCCACGGGAAGCGCAAUCUGCAGGGUUAUCAGAGGAUACCACAUGUGACCACUGUUCUCGGUCUAAAAUAGCUAAAAUCUCUGACACUCGAUUUGCUAUGAACGUCUUCCAGCGACUUGGAUGACUGCUCAGCCAAGCUAAAACGAUCGUUGAGUCCGUCCAUGCAUGUAAGUUUGACUUUGGUACCUUCAAAAUUUCUGAGACUUCCUUUAACAACUUCGCUAGUAGAACAGCGCCGCACAACUCAAGCUUCGGGAUGGAAAUUUGCUUUAUUGGAGCUACUUUUGUUUUGCAGGUGAUAAGAGUGACCAUAACAUUUCCAGCUUCAUCUACCACGCGCGCAUAGACUACAGCAGCAUAUGCAUCAGACGAAGCGUCGCUGAAGCCGUGUAACUCAACUGUGAUACACUUUGAAUUCGUACCAAUCCAGCGCGGCAGACGAAAUUGAGUAAGUGCAGUAAGUUCACCUCGGUAAGUACUCCAAUCUUUAAAAAGCUUUGCUGGUAACUCCUCAUCCCAACCGAUUCCUGCUAACCAUAGCUUUUGUAUGAACAUUUUUGCUUUUACGAUGACUGGAGCAAGCCAUCCCAAAGGGUCAUACAACUUUGAAAUAUCUGAAAUAACUUUUCUCUUUGUUACAGGUUCACUGAUAGGUGGUAGCUGCACGGAGUAUUCGAAGACGUCAGUUCGUCGGUUCCAGGUAAGUCCAAGAAUUUUGAUAAUUUCAUCUACUUUGAGUUCCAAAUUGCUUGUUGUUUUUUCUGAAUCCUUGCUUAUUUCGUUCAACAGUGUUUCAUUAUUGCUUGACCAUUUUUGAAGUUCAAAUCCCCCUUUGCUUAGUAACUCAUUCAUUUGUUGAAAUAUUUGUUUUCCUUCCAGAACUGUGUCACAUCCA